UACGGAGGAUCCAAGCGUUAUCCGGAUUUAUUGGGUUUAAGGGGUGCGUAGGCGGCGCGUUAAGUUAGAGGUGAAACCCCGGUGCUCAACACCGGAACUGCCUCUGAUACUGGCGUGCUAGAGUAUAGUUGCUGUGGGCGGAAUGUAUGGUGUAGCGGUGAAACGCUUAGAGAUCAUAUAGAACACCGAUUGCGAAGGCAGCUCACAAAGCUAUUACUGACGCUGAGGCACGAAAGCGUGGGGAGCAAACAGG
RNAcentral lists this ribosomal RNA (253 nucleotides) under uncultured bacterium. Its description in RNAcentral is "partial 16S ribosomal RNA". It matches the Rfam family "Bacterial small subunit ribosomal RNA", at positions 524 to 776 of the family's 1533-position model. The record is from RNAcentral.